This 493-nucleotide ribosomal RNA is filed under the name uncultured bacterium. Its description in RNAcentral is "bacterial SSU rRNA". It matches the Rfam family "Bacterial small subunit ribosomal RNA", at positions 28 to 507 of the family's 1533-position model. The record is from RNAcentral.
GAUGAACGCUAGCUACAGGCUUAACACAUGCAAGUCGAGGGGAAACGACAUCGAAAGCUUGCUUUUGGUGGGCGUCGACCGGCGCACGGGUGAGUAACGCGUAUCCAACCUGCCCACCACUUGGGGAUAACCUUGCGAAAGUAAGACUAAUACCCGAUGAUAUCUCUAGACGACAUCUGAAAGGGAUUAAAGAUUUAUCGGUGAUGGAUGGGGAUGCGUCUGAUUAGCUUGUUGGCGGGGUAACGGCCCACCAAGGCAACGAUCAGUAGGGGUUCUGAGAGGAAGGUCCCCCCACAUUGGAACUGAAACACGGUCCAAACUCCUACGGGAGGCAGCAGUGAGGAAUAUUGGUCAAUGGGCGAGAGCCUGAACCAGCCAAGUAGCGUGCAGGAUGACGGCCCUAUGGGUUGUAAACUGCUUUUAUAAGGGAAUAAAGUGGGUCACGUGUGACUUUUUGCAUGUACCUUAUGAAUAAGGACCGGCUAAUUCCGUG